RNAcentral lists this ribosomal RNA (450 nucleotides) under uncultured bacterium. RNAcentral describes it as "partial 16S ribosomal RNA". It matches the Rfam family "Bacterial small subunit ribosomal RNA", at positions 354 to 796 of the family's 1533-position model. The record is from RNAcentral.
GUGGGGAAUUUUGGACAAUGGGCGCAAGCCUGAUCCAGCAAUGCCGCGUGCAGGAAGAAGGCCUUUGGGUUGUAAACUGCUUUUGUACGGAACGAAACGGUCCGGGUUAAUACCCUGGGCUAAUGACGGUACCGUAAGAAUAAGCACCGGCUAACUACGUGCCAGCAGCCGCGGUAAUACGUAGGGUGCAAGCGUUAAUCGGAAUUACUGGGCGUAAAGCGUGCGCUGGCGGUUUUGUAAGACAGGCGUGAAAUCCCCGGGCUCAACCUGGGAAUUGCGCUUGUGACUGCAGUGCUGGAGUACGGCAGAGGGGGAUGGAAUUCCGCGUGUAGCAGUGAAAUGCGUAGAUAUGCGGAGGAACACCGAUGGCGAAGGCAGUCCCCUGGGCCUGUACUGACGCUCAUGCACGAAAGCGUGGGGAGCAAACAGGAUUAGAAACCCGAGUAGUCC